GGCAUGUGGCUAAGUGGUAGGGCAUUUGCCUGACAUGCAUGCAGCUCUGGGUUCCAAUCCCAGCACCA
RNAcentral lists this transfer RNA (68 nucleotides) under Marmota monax (woodchuck). Its description in RNAcentral is "tRNA.Val". The stretch from base 5 to 65 matches the Rfam family "tRNA", at positions 6 to 65 of the family's 71-position model. Rfam says of the family: Transfer RNA (tRNA) molecules are approximately 80 nucleotides in length. Their secondary structure includes four short double-helical elements and three loops (D, anti-codon, and T loops). Lineage: Eukaryota; Metazoa; Chordata; Mammalia; Rodentia; Sciuridae. The record is from RNAcentral.